AGAUGGCGACCGGCGCACGGGUGAGUAACACGUAUCCAACCUGCCGAUAACUCGGGGAUAGCCUUUCGAAAGAAAGAUUAAUACCCGAUGGUAUAAUCAGACCGCAUGGUUUGAUUAUUAAAGAAUUUCGGUUAUCGAUGGGGAUGCGUUCCAUUAGGCAGUUGGUGGGGUAACGGCUCACCAAACCUUCGAUGGAUAGGGGUUCUGAGAGGAAGGUCCCCCACAUUGGAACUGAGACACGGUCCAA
Molecule: ribosomal RNA, 247 nt
Filed under: uncultured bacterium
Lineage: Bacteria
Description: partial 16S ribosomal RNA
Rfam family: Bacterial small subunit ribosomal RNA
Source: RNAcentral